This 1235-nucleotide long non-coding RNA is filed under the name Zea mays. RNAcentral's name for it is "uncharacterized LOC100381526 (LOC100381526)". The record is from RNAcentral. Lineage: Eukaryota; Viridiplantae; Streptophyta; Magnoliopsida; Poales; Poaceae.
ACAAAGCACAACACAACAAUUGUGUAUAUAUAGAAUAAUGAGAAAAGGCAACCUCAACAUACGAUGCGGACGAGAAAAGAGCAAUUGAUGAUAGACUGAUACCCACCACCAGUACCACAGUCCACGCUCCUUUUCUUUUCUUUUUUUCCCUCCUUUGUAUUGCACAAAUCAGUGAGCGUGCAGUCGAUAAAGACACACUUUCGGGACCUUCUUUGAUCAUGGAGGCCACAAGGCAAGAGCUAGGGUUCUAGGAAAAGUUGGAACCCCUUUUAUACCAGUCAAAAAACAACAGACACUAUUUUACAACUAACCCCAAACAAGAACCAAUUUUUUUCCAAGAAAACAAAUGUCUUCAUCUCCUUUAAUAUGCACCACUACUGUGUGAUCCACGAAAUCACCAUGCAGUUCGUUUGACUUUAAUUCGUAUCAACUUCUACUACUUUUUAUCUAGAGUGAAUUGUAGCUACAGUAGUCCGAACAACUAGACCCGUGUAACAAAAAAGCAAGGGACGUCACGAAAUUACAUGGAAAUAGAAGUAUGAAAGGCUGGAGAUCGAAGCUCAAGAUUGACUAGUUCACGUGUUUUGAGCGUACGAUCUCUCUUCACGCUUACGCAAUUUGCGCCUCGGAUCAUGCGCACCUUUUUUUUCUAGAGAAAAAAAAAUACUCUUCAACAACAACAAAACAAAAACCGAGAUGAUACUCUUUUCACAGGACGUAGUGCUACUGCUGCACGACUCCUCCGAUCUACCCUCCAAGGGCUUGUUCGGUUAUUUUCAAUCCAUAUGGAUUGGAGGGGAUUGAUAUGGAUUGAGAGAGAUUUUGACUUGCUAGGGAUUAAAACCCCUUCAAUCCCCCUCAAUCCAUAUGGAUUGGGGUAGAACCGAACAAGCCCCAAAGGAGAAGAAACGGAAGAGGGGGGGGGGGGGAGGGGGGAGAAGAAAGUUCUCUGCCAGCUGCUACGAGCUAGAAGCUGCUGGGCGCCCGGCCGGAGAAGGCCAUGGCGAAGAGGAGGAUGACGAGGUAGAAGAGGAUGACGACGAGCUUCAUCUGGAACAUGGCGAAGAAGAGCUUCACCAUGAACACCAGCAGCAGCGCGUCGAAUAUGAUCGUUAUGGCCACCUCCAGAGGCUCCAUCGCCGCCGACCAGACCACCAGCAAAGGUGAGAUCAACACUCUCUCAGCUGGGACGGACCAAGAAAACAAAACGAGAAAUCGGUAAAGGUGGAUGGGAC